AAUCAUGGCUCAGGAUGAACGCUGGCGGCGUGCUUAACACAUGCAAGUCGAACGGGAAACAUUUCAUUGAGGCUUCGGCGGAUUUGGUCUGUUUCUAGUGGCGGACGGGUGAGUAACGCGUGGGUAACCUGCCUUAUACUGGGGGAUAACAGCCAGAAAUGGCUGCUAAUACCGCNUAAGCGCACGGGACCGCAUGGUCCUGUGUGAAAAACUCCGGUGGUAUAAGAUGGACCCGCGUUGGAUUAG
RNAcentral lists this ribosomal RNA (246 nucleotides) under uncultured bacterium. Its description in RNAcentral is "partial 16S ribosomal RNA". It matches the Rfam family "Bacterial small subunit ribosomal RNA", at positions 15 to 244 of the family's 1533-position model. The record is from RNAcentral.